This 746-nucleotide ribosomal RNA is filed under the name Hypotyphlus pandellei. Its description in RNAcentral is "partial large subunit ribosomal RNA". The stretch from base 341 to 500 matches the Rfam family "Bacterial large subunit ribosomal RNA", at positions 2473 to 2632 of the family's 2925-position model. The record is from RNAcentral. Lineage: Eukaryota; Metazoa; Arthropoda; Insecta; Coleoptera; Carabidae.
UUUAAUGGCUGCAGUAAUUUGACUGUACAAAGGUAGCAUAAUAAUUAGUUUUUUAAUUAAAAGCUUGAAUGAAUGGUUGGACGAAAUAAAAUCUGUCUUUAUUUAAUUUAUAUUAGAAUUUAAUUUUUAAAUUAAAAAGUUUAAAUUUUUUUAAAAGACGAGAAGACCCUAUAGAGUUUAAUAAUUUAUUUUAUAUAAUUAAUUUAGAUUUAUUUAUUUUAUAUAAAAUAAUUUAUUUUAUUGGGGUAAUAUAAAGAUUAGAGUAAUUCUUUAUUUUUAAUUUAUUGAUUUAUAUUUUUUUGAGCCAUUAAUAAUGAUUAUUAGUUUAAAUUACCUUAGGGAUAACAGCGUAAUUUUUUUAGAGAGUUCAUAUUGAUAAAAAAGUUUGCGACCUCGAUGUUGGAUUAAAGAUUAAUUUAGGUGCAAAAGUUUAAAUAAUUUGGUCUGUUCGACCAUUAAAUCUUUACAUGAUCUGAGUUCAGACCGGUGUGAGCCAGGUCGGUUUCUAUCUUUAUUUAAUUAAUAUAUUUUAGUACGAAAGGACCAAAUAUUGAUUAUAAUAAUUAAUAUUUGAAUAAUAUUAAGUUAUUUUGGCAGAUUAGUGCAAUGAAUUUAGAAUUCAUAUAUGUAAUUUUAUUACAGGUAAUAUUUGUUUUAUAUUGAUUUAAUUUUUAUGUUUAUUAUUAUAUUUUUAUUAAUUAUUUGUGUAUUAAUUGGAGUAGCUUUUUUAACUUUAUUAGAACGAA